This 433-nucleotide ribosomal RNA is filed under the name uncultured bacterium. RNAcentral's name for it is "partial 16S ribosomal RNA". It matches the Rfam family "Bacterial small subunit ribosomal RNA", at positions 29 to 507 of the family's 1533-position model. The record is from RNAcentral.
AACGAACGCUGGCGGCAGGCCUAACACAUGCAAGUCGAGCGAGGACUUCGGUCCUAGCGGCGGACGGGUGAGUAACGCGUGGGAACGUGCCCUUUGCUUCGGAAUAGCCCUGGGAAACUGGGAGUAAUACCGGAUGAGCCCUUUGGGGGAAAGAUUUAUCGGCGAAGGAUCGGCCCGCGUUGGAUUAGGUAGUUGGUGGGGUAAUGGCCUACCAAGCCGACGAUCCAUAGCUGGUUAGAGAGGAUGAUCAGCCACACUGGGACGGAGACACGGCCCAGACUCCUACGGGAGGCAGCAGUGGGGAAUCGUAGACAAUGGGGGAAACCCUGAUCUAGCCAUGCCGCGUGAGCGAUGAAGGCCUUAGGGUUGUAAAGCUCUUUCAGCUGGGAAGAUAAUGACGGUACCAGCAGAAGAAGCCCCGGCUAACUCCGUG